Molecule: long non-coding RNA, 525 nt
Filed under: Homo sapiens (human)
Lineage: Eukaryota; Metazoa; Chordata; Mammalia; Primates; Hominidae
Description: HSALNT0356621
Source: RNAcentral
UAAGUCCAUCUCUUCAGUUUCAGGGAUGGAGAGAGGAAGAUGUAACCUUGGAAGCGGAAGGACACAAUUUAUAGGAUAAUCCCACUCAUGACAAAAGAGGAAGCUUUGGAGGGUGGAGAAUAACCCAGUUGAAAAUCUACAAGCAAUGCUGUCCACAUCCCAAAUAGACUGGUCAAAAAGCCUUCAUCCCGUCAGUCACUGACAUCAACUUCAUCCAAAUCAGACUCCUAAAAACCCGGCCUAACUUAUGUGUCAUGCAAAGGAUGGCUCUUGGAAAAAUGCAAAGAAGCAGGGGCCGCUAAGGGAGAGAUGUGAAGGUCAAGGAAGCUCUGAGCUCCUGACAGCCGCCCUUCCAGCCUUCUCCUGCCUUCCAUAGAGAGAUGCUAUGGACUCUUGGUCCAGAGACUCAAAUUCAAGGAAAAGAAGAGGCAACAUUUGCAGUGUUGAUCCUUGAGUUGAACAAAGAGUGGUCAGGAGAAGAAACCAACAAGAAAUGUAACCUACCUCCAGAACUCAGGAACUCAG